This 100-nucleotide non-coding RNA is filed under the name Liquorilactobacillus oeni. RNAcentral describes it as "Lactobacillus oeni Guanine sequence". It matches the Rfam family "Purine riboswitch aptamer". From Rfam's summary of the family: Riboswitches are metabolite binding domains within certain messenger RNAs that serve as precision sensors for their corresponding targets. Allosteric rearrangement of mRNA structure is mediated by ligand binding, and this results in modulation of gene expression. A class of riboswitches that selectively recognises guanine and becomes saturated at concentrations as low as 5 nM. Lineage: Bacteria; Bacillati; Bacillota; Bacilli; Lactobacillales; Lactobacillaceae. RNAcentral also lists the same sequence under 1 other name. The record is from RNAcentral.
UAUUAUUCUAAGGUGCUUACUUAUAUAAAGUCAUAAUACGGUUGACCAGUUUCUACCCAAGGCCCCUAAACCUUGGACUAUGAGUAAAAAUUGUGAUAUU